This 3901-nucleotide long non-coding RNA is filed under the name Capsicum annuum. RNAcentral's name for it is "long non-coding RNA (CANN_LNC004380)". Lineage: Eukaryota; Viridiplantae; Streptophyta; Magnoliopsida; Solanales; Solanaceae. The record is from RNAcentral.
UGGGUGAGGAAGCACUUGCAGAGAAGCAACAAUUUCUUUUGUUUUCUUGAUGAAGAAAUUAGUCUCUGGGAUGUAGAAGAACAAUGGAAGGCCCUGAAAAUAGUGGAUUUGGCCCUUCAAUGUGCUCAACUCGAGCCAAGCACCAGGCCUGCAAUGAGGGAUGUAGUAAGGUCUCUUGUCGAAUUAAAUAAAAGAUGUAAAGAGAAUAAAUGAAACUUUUAGCAGUGAAACCCAUGAUCAACUUUACCAAAUUCAAACAUCUUUUUUUUUUUUUUUUUGCUUACAUAAAAAAUUGGACUAAGAAAAUCAUGAUGUUUUAGCUUAACAUAAUCGAGAAAAUCAACUCUUAGUCCGUUUUUAUUUGCCGUGGUGAUGGAUGUGUUGACGUGGAGUAUACAAGGCGAGGUGCCUUGGUGUAUGCUUUUUGCGGAUAAUGUAGUUUUGAUUAAUGAGUCGCGGCAAGGUGUUAAUGAUAAGCUGGAGGUUUGGAGACAAACUUUAGAGUCUAAAGGUUUCAGAUUGAGCAGGACCAAUACGGAGUAUUUGGAGUGCAAGUUUAGUGACUCGAGGCAAGAGGAUGAGGUAGUAGUGAAGUUGGACUCAGGAUAGUUUUAAGUAUCUUGGGUCUACGAUUCAGGGGAACGGAGAGAUAGAUGAGGAUGUCUCUCACCGUAUUGGGGCAGGUUGGAUGAAAUGGAGGCUCGCUUCGGGAAUUUUAUGCGAUAAGAAGGUGCCUCCCAAGCUUAAAGGCAAAUUCUAUAGAGUUGCAGUCCGGCUGGCUAUGUUGUAUGGAGCGGAGUGUUGGCCGGUUAAGAAUUCUCAUAUACAAAAGUUGAAGGUGGCGGAAAUGAGGAUGUUGCGUUGGAUGUGUGGAUUUACAAGGGCUGACGGGGUUAGGAAUGAGAUUAUUCGGGGGGAGGUGGGAGUGGUGUCGGUGGAGGAUAAAAUGCGGGAAGUGAGGUUGAGAUGGUUUGGUCAUGUGAUGAGGAGAGGCACGGAUGCUCCAGUUCAUAGGUGUGAGAGGUUGGCCUUGGAUGGUUUCAAACGGGAUUGGGAUAGACCGAGGAAAUACAGGAGAGAAGUGAUUAGACGUGACAUGGAGCAGUUACAGCUCACUGAGGAGUUACAGCUCACCGAGGACAUGACCCUGAAUAGGAAAGUUUGGAGGAAAAAUACUAGGAUAGAGGGAUAAGGUGGGUGGAUGUAUCGUAGUCAGUAGUUAGGAGGACUUUGGUGUCCUUUGUUUGGCAAUGUGCAAUAUUUUUGUGGAUGUUGUACCUAUGUUAGUUUUAUCAUGUUUCAUGCUUUUGAUGUUUUUGUAUAUUGUCGUUUGUCUUGAGCCGGGGGUCUAUCGAAAACAGCCUCUCUACUUCUUUAGAGGUAGUGGUAUGGACUGCGUACAUUCUACCCUCCCCAGACCCCACUAGGCGGGAAUAUACCGGGUUUGUUGUUGUUGUUGUAGCGUAACAACAUAGACUAAGAAAAGCAUGAUCUUUCAAAUCAAUUUUCAGUAAAAGCGAUUUUCACCUUCUCGUCAUAGCUCUUUUCGUCAUGCAUCACUGUCCGUAAUCAGUUUUUGCUUGUUACGUUCUCUAGCUUAUCCAAAAUAUUGUUGCUUUUUAACAAUGAAAUUACAGAAAUACUGAGAGUGAAACACUGAAAUGCAGCCAAAGGGAAUUGUUUUAUUUAGCCUGGUUGAGCUGUGCAUUUAUAUUGAACUUGCAAUUAGGGAUAGUUAGCUAGCAAACUAGUAAUUAGGAUUUAUUAAAAAAAAAACUAAGAUAAGCAAAAAGAAAAAGAUAAGCUUUUGUUGAAUUUGGUUUUAUUAAUGAUGUUCCUGUAAAAGAAUGCAAGAAUAGAAGACCUCCACCUUACUGGUCUUUCUUUGUGUUCCAUACUUCCAGUGACUGAGUUACUUCCAGAAAAUAAAAUAAAAAGAUAAGCUUUUGUUGAAUUUGGUCGUACUAAUGAUGGUUCCUGCAAAAGAAUGCAAGAUCAAAAGACCUCCACCUUAUCGAUCUUUCUUUGUGUUCCAAACUUCCAGUGACUGAACUACUUCAGAAAAUAAAAUAAAGAUGAAUGGAAAUGGCUUGUGGAUAAUCAUUGUAUUGCAUCCAAAUACAGAUAUUCAAAUAAGGUAGAUAUACCCCAGUAUGGGUUAGCAACAGGACUUCUAAAAAGACACAUAGGAAUACCAGAUCACGAGAGUACAGUAAUAGUCCUUGGAGAAUUAAUGAGAAUCCAGUAGAAAGGAAAUACCUACAAUGAUCAUAGUAUUACUCUAGAAGUUUUUGUUAUUCCAUUUCUGUUACUAUUUAAUGUUUCUUGGAAUUCGAUUAUCAUAUUACUUUGUUGUAGUGACUGUUCUUUUUAUGCUUUAUCAUGCGUUCUUUCACAUUUUGUCUUGGCUUCUCCACUCCCGUCAUUUUCGUUUUUCGAACUUCUUUGUAGUGCUUUUACUUGAGCCGAGGUUCUAUCAGAAACAAUCUCUUUACCUCCCAAGUUAAGGUCUGCCUGCGUACACACUACCCUCCCAGACUUGCUUGUAGGAUAACACUAGGUAUGUUAUUGUUGUUGCACUAGUAGUAGAAAGGAAAUAUGCAAGAAGUGCAAGCAUAAACUGGCAGGGCUAUUCUGCAAGUGAGUAACAGAUGAAAGACACACCUCAGUUACGAGAACUGCAACAACAGAGCACAGUACAAUGUGUACCUAAACAAUCAUCAGAGUAGGAGAAGCCCAACUUAAACGUUCCAGAUUCCUCAUCAUAUUUUUCAUCUAGUUGACUUGGAUGUGUAUUACAAGCCAAUCCUCACAAGAUUUUGAGAACUUUCAUGUUAAGUAUUCACCAGAAUUUGCAUCGGACAUGGAAACACCACAUAUACUGACAAAUCUCAGAAUUAUAGUAAUAGAGCUUCCCAUCCGAGUCUGAUCCAAGCUUCUGGUCUUAGCAAGUGUAGCAACCUCACAUAUGCAGACAAGUCUUGGAUUUCUAGACUCUAGUAAUAGAGUUCCGUUCAAAGUCAGAUCCACUAAAUUCUCAAGCUUCUGCUCUUAGCAAGUGCACUUUUGAGCUAAAAGAUUUGAGACAAACCCCGGGAAGAUAUAUGAAUCAGUUUCGCCUAGACAUUCAACAAACAUAAUAUCGACAUAGAGAUAAAAGCCUCCACACUCCAUCGACAUCUAAUUUCGAAAUUCUUAGAUAAAAUUAGGUCGCCAGAUUAGUUUGAGUGUGAAGUUGGCUUUUCAGGACAACUUGAGAGUGCAUUUGAUGUCUUUUCUCAAACUAAUAUUGCCCUCAAAGGGUACAAAAACAGAGUAAACAAAAAUAAAGUAAAUUAUGAACGGUUAUCAUACCUGUUAAUUGAUGGAGUCAUCCGAAUCAAAAUCAACUCGAAUACAAUCCAUAGCAAAUAGCAAUUAUUAAUCAUGAAAUUUAGAUAUAAACGGAUUCAAUUAAAACAUUUAAUGAUAAUCACAAGGACCAAUAUUAAGUUCUAAAAGUGUUCUGAAUUGUAAGAAAUAUAUAAAUCAACGGAGAAAAAAAAAAAGAAAUAUACAAAUCUGUUGCUACAAUGCAAGUAAAUGGUGCAGGAGAAUAAAUCUUAGUUCACAAGAGUUAUCCAACACACCUUACUCGAUUAACCUGAAAAUGAUUGUAAUGCAUUUAACAAAUUUUAUUGGAUUGAAGAAUUUUACUAAUCUAAUUGGCUAAUUACUUGAAUGUUCAUCUCCUUGGUGAGUGCUCAGUUCUCCACUUCGAAAUUUUCUUCCCAUUUUCCUUAUUGCAAUGAAAUAUGAAUUUGCAAAUUAUUAGCAGCAACUUACUUUAGUACAUUUAAUGUGAAUACGAGGGUGUAUUUGAAAAAGUCUUUCCAUCUCACGAUUAGGGUUUAUUUGAAAA